This 558-nucleotide ribosomal RNA is filed under the name uncultured organism. RNAcentral's name for it is "bacterial SSU rRNA". It matches the Rfam family "Bacterial small subunit ribosomal RNA", at positions 1 to 572 of the family's 1533-position model. The record is from RNAcentral.
UGGAUCCAGACUUUGAUUAUGGCUCAGGACGAACCCUGGCGGCGCGCCUAACACAUGCAAGUCGAACGAGAGAGAGGAAGCUUGCUUCCUCGAUCGAGUGGCGAACGGGUGAGUAACGCGUGAGGAACCUGCCUCAAAGAGGGGGACAACAGUUGGAAACGACUGCUAAUACCGCAUAAGCCCACGGCUCGGCAUCGAGCAGAGGGAAAAGGAGCAAUCCGCUUUGAGAUGGCCUCGCGUCCGAUUAGCUAGUUGGUGAGGUAAUGGCCCACCAAGGCAACGAUCGGUAGCCGGACUGAGAGGUUGAACGGCCACAUUGGGACUGAGACACGGCCCAGACUCCUACGGGAGGCAGCAGUGGGGAAUAUUGCACAAUGGGGGAAACCCUGAUGCAGCGACGCCGCGUGGAGGAAGAAGGUCUUCGGAUUGUAAACUCCUGUUGUUGAGGAAGAUAAUGACGGUACUCAACAAGGAAGUGACGGCUAACUACGUGCCAGCAGCCGCGGUAAAACGUANGUCACAAGCGUUGUCCGGAAUUACUGGGUGUAAAGGGAGCGC